Long non-coding RNA from Pseudopipra pipra, 10296 nucleotides. RefSeq lists it as uncharacterized. The record is from RefSeq and is a predicted model, not a curated record. NCBI's taxonomy places the organism in Eukaryota, Metazoa, Chordata, Aves, Passeriformes, Pipridae. The transcript is spliced from 2 exons.
CACAGUGCUUUUCCAUUAAACACCCUUUUACCCAGAGCUCCAGAGAGUUUGUCAUUAAGAUCCAGCUGUGCCACAUGAUCUGCUGAGCAUCCAACAGAAUUAACUUCAGGCAGAUAACUUUCAAUCCAUGGGAAAUGGACAUCGCCUUUUUGAGGAGACGAUCUCCUUCAAGGGACCCAAAGAAAAGCUCAAGAUUAAGUGGACUAUACUCCUCCUUCCCCAACUAUCACCACUAGUAAAACUCACUGAGGAGAUAGCAAAGGUAAGCUUAAAACUGAAGUGUCAUAAGCAGGGCUAUACAGGUGACCAUGCAGCACCUUGGCACACCAAAUGUGCCUCUGAAAACAACUUCUUCAAGGUUUCCAGCACACAGAAGGAACAUUAUUCAUGGAUACCUGUGGUCAUCAUGGAAAUCUAAGCUAGCAUCAAUUUACUGAUGUUAACAGGCAUCCACAUGGAGAGGCUCUAUUAGCUUGCUACUGCCCCAGGAGGGCCUGAAAAACUCCAGUGGAUGGUUCCUGUAUUGAAAACCAAGGUGAGUGGGAGUCUAUUUAAUGAAAUGAACAAACAAAAUAAAAUAUCAAGGAAAUAGAGAGACUGAAGCAACAUAAUAAGAAAGCAUAAAAUACUGUUAGCUACUAUGCUAUAAAGUAAUAAAUACAAUGGAAUAAUGAUAUAUAGCUGACAGCGCAGAAGCUAUCCAAGCCAAUAUCACCAUUUUCAAGAUUCAAUAAAAAUACAGAAUUUCUGCAACUGAGCAGUAAAGGCAACACGAGUGUCAGACACGCCUGUUCCCCUAACAGCCCAAAAAGAACAGGCUGUGGCCAUCAACCCAGGGAGGGCAGGUGUAAGCCACACAUUUAAUACAUGUCAGAGCUCUCUCCCACUCUCAAAGAACAAGCACUGACUGUCUUCUCAGGGAGCACACCAGAGAAAUGAGAUACAAAUUACUCUUUCAAAAGAAUUCAAGGCUCCGUAAUGUACCUGAAAGCAGGCAACCCAAGAGUGAGGAUUUUUACACAAGGCAAUUUCCCUUCAGAUGCUCAAGACUGUUUCAAAUCAAACCACAUAACGUGAUGAUCAGCUUCAGCAUGGGUGAUGGUACUAUCCAUCAUUCUUUGCUUCCUCCUAAAAAACACCACUCUCCUACAGAGUGAUAGCAGAACAAUUAUCUCCAGUAUUUGGGAGGCACUUUACAUUUUAAAAGCAGCGAACAGAAAAGCACAGUGAAUUCAUACAGAGGGAAUAAAAUAGAUCAGACAUGAGAAGAACACUGAAUUUGGAAAAGCAAUCACAAUGAACAUGAAGUAUUUUUUAUGAAUCAUAAUGGCAUAUGCACUGAGGUGCUUUAAAAUUAUUUCAGUAUACUAGAAGAAUGAAUAAGAUACUCCUCUAUUAACAAUCUACUCUAAAUAAAAAGGUAGCCUAAAUGUAAAAUACAUUUGCUAAGACAACAGUUAUAAAUUUAACUGCCAACAGUAAGGCUAUAAUUUCAAUCAAUUUCAACUUACUAGAAAAGUCUUUGGAGAUAAAAAAUAAUUUAGCAUCAGUAUCAUUUAAAGUGUUCUUCUUUUACAUUAGUUUCAAACUUAUAAAACAAUUUCUAUUAAAAAAUGAAAAUGUUCAGACAGCACAUUGAAUACCUUUUCACCUCAGUUCGGAUACACAGAAGUUUUAUAUAUGAUGUUUACUCACCUGACCUAAAAAAAAUGAAUCUGCUGAUAAAAUUUUAAAAUUGAAACUAUUACAGAAUAUUUAGAUAACAGUCACUGAGACAAGAAUAUUGAAAGCAGAACAAUUAAAGCAGAAGUCUAAAACAUCGUCUAAGAAUGUGGCUCCAAGAUAUUAAGGAUGAGAGAAGCAAACCAUUUAAGCUGCAAAAUUUCUCAGAUAAUCCAAGAAGGUGCUUUUUGCCUUUGAUUCCAACUGACUGUAAAGAUUGCUCAACUCAUUUUAGGACUGAGACGUUGAUACCAAAUGAGGUCUUUCUGCUGUGAUGGUUAUUCACGACAACUGUUUUUGCCGUCUGAUCUAAUAACAUCACUCAUGUUGAAUUUCAAACAGAAGAUACAUCAUGACAUCUUUAGGCUUACUUUGAAAGUAUAGCUCAACCUGGAAAACUAAAAUUACUCUCUAAUAAACCACAAUCACAUUAACUUGUCAGAUGAAAAAUUCAGAAGAAUAAUAGUAACAUAAACAGUUUACUAGUUAACAGGAAGGACCCUCCUUCAAGCAUGCUGGUCAGCAUGUCACUGCAGUGACUGUUCUUACCUAGUCCUAUUCUGUUGGGACUCGUCUCUCGACUGCAUCCCUGGCUCCGAGGAAUCUUGCUGCGCUUCUCUGAAGAUGAUGGCACUGGCUGGACUCUGGAUGUUCCGCCGCUCAGGCCACCAUAGGAGCUUCCUAAGAGCUUACCCGGAGAACUAGACCGGCUACCAGCUAGAAGAGAACCAGAAAUAAGGGCAAAACAAUUAAAACCCCCCAAGAUUUUAAGCACACUGAUGGCAAAACUGGAACACAAUCAGCUCUAUAUAAAAAUACGAUCCAAAUCACUCAACAAACUAAUGGGAGUGUUCCCUAUGGGCUUGCAAGGAAGACUGAGGAAAGCCCAUAGACAAUAAACAUGGACAUCAGCAACUCUGCCUCUAUGAACUGUGCUUCCCACUGGGGAUCAAGCCCAGACAUUGCUGCAUUUGAACACCCCAGCUGGCUUUACGAGAGCUUGUGGAGGUGCCGGGACAGCCCUGUUGCAGCAAUACGGAAUUCACAGCCUGCUUGUACUCCUCACAAAGCAACACCAACGAGCCUGUGUGGAGAGCUGUGCUGCAGCUGCCGGCUUCUGGCACAGGUCACCUGCUGCAAAGGAGCUCAGGCAUCUUCAUUCUACACUGAGGUGGUGGCACUACUUUCCUACAAUAAUUCAGUGAAGGAAAAUAAAAAAAAAAAAAAACCCCAACAAAAUCCAACCAACAUAAAAACCCCAUCACAUCUGAAGAGAUCAGCACAAUAAGGGUAAACCACGUGAGCCUGUCACAUUUGUAGAGAUGAUGGCUUAAUUAGGUCUGGUUGGUUAAAUCUAAGCUAUUAAUUCUUCAGAUGAAGAAAAUUUUUAGCAAGUCGAAUAGUUGGCCUGUUUUAUCUUUUCUUCUCUGUUUGAAUAGUCCAUAGCAAGUUUACAUUUCUUCUAAGCCUUGUUGUCUGCAAGAGAGUCUACUAACCAAGAUUAAUUUACAUAUUUACAUUCCAGCUGCAGUAGAUAUCUCUAUCUGAAACACUUUUGCUGUCUAAUUUAAUGAGAUGACUGAUAAUUUCUUUUUUUCCCCUCUGGGUCUUCAUUUGCUAAGUUGUUUGAAAAUUAAGUAAUGCUAGCUUAAAGGUAAUCAUAAAGAAGUAAUACUCUAAGAGUAAUAGAUUCAAGACUAUUUUUUUUUUUUUUGCUUCUUCAGGUAUAUAGAGUCCCUGAAAAUCUGCUGUUGCCAUUACCAUUCCUGACAUUCAAUUUAUUUGCUAAAACAGCCAGGAAAAGUAUACUUGAAAAGGUUGCAAGAACAUACUCAGGCAAGCUCACAUUUUGAAUUGAUACUCAUGUUGGUUUCUCUCUGAAAAGUACCUAGGCAUCUCACAAAAAUUUCAUUUCCAGAUACUAUUAGUACUAGCAAGAGUUAAAGACUGUUCUCCUGUCUUAAUUUAAGAAGAUAUGCAAUUCUGUUAGUCUCAUGGACAAUGCCAUAACACAUGUAUUAUACACUUACUCGUCCCCUCCAAUUUCUCAAUCAAAGCCAUUCUGAAUCAAUUAAAUAUACUCCAAUACUGUGUGUGGUGCUGGCUCCAUUCUCCCCACCCCCAAAGUGACAGAUGCCAGUCUUACACAGAGCACCACAACCUAAAACCAAGACUCUUCUCAGGUACACUGCUGCGAUCUCACUGAUGUCAGCAGGGUUGCACUGAAGUAACUGGAAAAAGAAUUUAGCACCUGGGGUUUUAAGCUGCAGCAGUGAGAGUGCUUCAAUGUGCAGAACGUAUGCUUAGCAUGUUUGAUUACUGGGAGAAAGUAAAGUCACCUGCCAUACACAUUUUGACUUAUGACUUUAAGAAAAUGCUUUUUAAGUCUCACGGUUAGGAGAGAAUGAGGGACACUAAAAGCUUAGCAGUUAAAAAAUGUGAAGGAAAUAACAUGAGAAAGCAAGAAAGGGAAAACAUUUCUUACCACCAGCAGGAUUAGCUGAUCUCGAUCCUUGAUUAUGAGGGCAGACCAAGGGACAGGCAAAAAGUGGAUUAAAAGACAGCAAGACAAUACUGCGUUCAGCAUGCGGUUUAUGCUAUACACAAUACAGACAGAUUUAUUUACAAACAUGUCACUCCUAAAGCCUCUGCAGAAUGCAGUGGGUUAAUGUGCAGAUGCAACUAAAUUUCCCAAGGUUGAUCAGCUACUUAGUAAAAUGUCAACCAAGACACUGAGACUCAAGUUCUGCUCUAAAUUACACCCCAGCCCAGUCUGAAAAAUUUCAGCAUGGUUACCCACUGUGUGGGCAUGAAGAAUUUGGUCCUGUGACUUAUAUUUGAAUUCAUAAAUUAUUUCAAGCAACUUGGCUUAAGGAUAAAGAACACAUCUGAUUGGGCUAGGCUGGAAAUGGGAUUCAGCAAACUAGACCAAGGCAGCAAGUUCAGAUAUGACCAUCCUAAAUUUUCAUAAGGCAUUCUAUAAAAAAAAAAGUAAGUUCAUAAUAACUGAAACCUUCGGAUAUUUAACUAUUCUUUAAAUACUUCUGAGACUUGUCUCAUGCGGUCUGACCAUUGUUCACCAAACUAAGUUUAGGAAAAAAAGGGUAAUUUCUGGAUUUAGAUCAGUUUUAGGUUCAAAACUUAAUCAAUUUAUAUCAGCAUACCUAAGCCCAAAUAUAUCUUCGAGAGCCCAAUGUAAAGAUUUUCAUUUGGCCCUAUUCUCAACAUACUACUACUUUCUUCAGCUCUCUCAGCUUAACACAAGGCUACAAACUGCUUCUUCACCUCUCCAGCAUGACAGAGCAAAGCAAUGAGAGAAUGAACAGAGAAGGGCUUUUAAAUAAGGGUACAAAGCAAGACGAGUCCUCAGAACAGACAGAUCCUUCAACAAACCCCAUGUCCUCUUAACCCACAAGACUGAAGGUCCUCAAAACAGGGACUAGCCUUCUUCCUACCCCCAAUUCCUUUUAAAGUUUGAGUGACAAAAUUCUCCUUAGAUGCACAUGACAAACAUGCAGCAGCACCAUAUGUGUGGCUCCUAGGGGAAAGUCAUGCCUUGCCAGGAAGCCAGAGAGCGCAGAUGUGUCAUGUGAAUCAAAGCAGAACCCUUUUCCCCAUAUCUACACAAAAUAGGUAAUGUCCUAUUUUAAACUGAUGCCAAAUCCCAUUAAUUUUAGACAGCUCACGUGUCACACAUACAGAAAUAGAGUCACAUAAGCGGGAGAAGCUUGGCAGAGCAAGACCCCAGGACAGCAGUCAGCUACAGCCACAGGGGGUGUCUCAGCAGGACUCAGUGCCAGCUAUUUAGUUCUACAGAUGACAGUGACAUGAGAUUCUGCUGCACAACCAGUAAAUAAUGGUAGCAACUUAGCACUCGGAUUUGGGGCCCUCUCUGUCAGCAGGAGCACACACUGCCUACAUGGGGAUUCAUUUUAUUACAUGUCCAAACACUAUUAUCAGAAGUGAGCCCAAUUCUCAGCUGACGUUACUGCAGUUCAAGAGAAACGUAUUAAUAACUAUUUGUUCUGCUCCCCCAGGAAUAAAACAAUUCUUACGCUGGGACUGGGAAACUACUUUAGCCCGGCUGCGGCCUCGAGUAUCAGCAGGCGUCGAGGUGACACUUGUGGCACUGCCAGAGCUCUGUCUCCUCGUACGGAUCCGACCUGGAGGAAUGCAAAGACAAUCACACUGUUAAUAAAAGGCAGCAGCAGUGUCUAACACACUCUACACACAAUUACCCAGGGUAUACAAAAGAUUUUAUAGGAAGAGGCAACACCUUUUAUUGGGCUGGCUGAGACGCAGGGGAGGGAAUGGAAACAGCCACAGUCCAUGAGUCCAAAACCUUCUUUGCUCUCGGUAAUGCUAUCAGUCAGUUUAAUUAAAAAAUAUUACCUCUCUAUAGCCUUUGUUUCUGUUCUAUAGUAGCUUCUUUAUAAAGGAUCAACAACAAAAAAUGUCAACCUCCUCAAUGCAGCUUCCUAUAUCAAAUUAUUACUUUCUGAGAAGGUGAUCACACUUUCAGAGACAGGUGUGACAGAUGCCCUCCCAAAUUCCAUCACUGGGAUUUCCAGCUAGCUGUUUGGUGCUUUAUAUCCUGCUCCCCCUGCACAGGAUGGCAUGCACUCCUGCGACACUGUCAAUGCAGUCUGACCAUGCUUUUAUUUCAGGCUCAUUGAAUUUUCCCUGUUUACAGAUCCCUCAUAUUUAUCCAGAGAUCAGUGUAACUUGACUUGUAAUGGAGAGUCCCAUUUAACACAAUCAAUGUUGUGGAAAAAUGAUUCUGUGUGCCUUCUCUUUAUUUAAGCAGAGAAAGGGUAUAAAGUGUUCUUGGUCCUUUUUCGGUCCUUUCCUCAUGAAAAAGCCACAGACAUUUGAGCUAGGAAAGCUUACAGGGUCAUCAGUUCACCCCCUUCCUGGGGCAGGGCCGUUUCCUACAGAACAUUCUUUCCAGUGCUAAGCUUCAAUUAUCUGUCUCUAGUUAAUGGGAAAGAAAUGAUAAUUAAGAGUAACACAAAGAAAGCCUCCAUCAGUACUUUUCAACACGUCCGUUCCCAGCCAAAUCUGAAGUUGUUUCUCAGGACUCAUGCCAGUGCUAUCCUGCAUUCAGAGGAUGAUUUCAAGUUUCAGGCACAAUAACAAAAGAGAAAAAACCCAUAUCAGGUAAGGGAAGAGUCUAGACAACUGCACCCACUGGUUACAGAUAUUCAUCUCCUGCCCUCUUGUCUCUACCAUAAGCAUACAGAGAAAUAUGAACCGGGAGACACACAUUUCCCACCCAAAAAAACCCAACUUCACAUAAGGUACACAUGCAGGACAAGACAAUGGCAAGCAGCCCAGGCUGAACAAUUGGGAGCUACAUUCUUCUGUGAGCUCUCAAAAUAUUCAUAACAUGGUCUGCAAGUUUCUGCUAGACACAAAGAGACAAGGAGAUGCUUAACUUUGAGAAGAAAGGCUAAACUUGUCCACAAGGGAAAAAGCCUACAAGACAGCUCUACUUCAAAUCUCUUCACCAGCACCUAGUUUUAAAACAGCUCAGUAGGCAAAAUACAGGCAUGUACAUUCAAACAACUGCUUAUAAAUGAGACACAGAAGAAAUCAUUAGCAUACAACUCAGAAAACACAAACAAAACUUUUUAAUCACCGGCUUAACUAAACAAGCUCUGAGCACGUCCACAUGGGUCCAGCAGUCACCAAACUGGCUGCUGGGGUCUUACCACCAGCAAGGCUGCAGUUCUCCUCUACUCUAGGACAGUCUUGCCUUUUACAGUCAGCCUGAUACACAAUCAGAGGCAGCCCUAGAGCUUUCUGCCGGCUCACUCCCAUCCUGUGCAAGUUUGGCACAGCAUAGCUACACACAGAUGAGCAGAGUCACCCUGUGACUCGUUAACAAGGCAUGGACCCCAAACCCCACCAUGGGCUUUGAGGAAGAAUUGCUUAGGGAAGGAGGCAGACAGAUGUCACACUCUUGUCAGAAGCCUCAAGACUUCCCCUCAUUUCUCACAUCAAGAGGGCAUCGCAGUAAGACAAGAAGUUUAACCUGACCAGUCUUAGGAACCAGUAAUGGAAUUCACUCACAUCCUUCCAGAAUGCCAACAGGAGGCCUUGGCAUUACAGGAAGUCCUGGGGGGUAACUCAAGCUGAAAUUCACUUUUACACACAACAGCAGACAUUACUGGAAGACAUGUUCAGUGAUAUGUAUGGGCCAAGAAAGGGUGAGAAGAUACUGAUGUCUCCUCUUAUGCACAGACCACUUAAGAUCCUCAAAAUUUUCUGGAUUUUUCUGCAUCUACAAAAAAGUUUAUUUUUUUUGGUCUCCAUCAGUAGGUGACUAAGAAGGAGAAAACUGGGACAAUAUGUAUUCCACCUUAAGAAAUACAAAGCCUAAAAAAAUCGAUAAAGAGAAACCAAGAUUAGCUUCUGAUAACAAUUCUAGAGGCUUUAAAAAAGAAAACUGAACUGAAGGGUCAAACUUAAUUAACAUGUGAUUAUCAGCAGGAUUAGAAACAGAGAACUCAAGUCCUAUUCUGAAACCCUUGAGAGUUAGUGGACAGAUUCCUACCAACUUCAGCAGUUUCUGAAUGAAUAAAUGCCCAGGAACAAAAUUCUGCUUCCUUUUGGAAUGAUAGAUUUGCACACUGAUUUUGGGCUAAUGGGUGUCAGAGAGAACGAUGUGGGACAAGGAGUUGCUCUCCCACAGGAGGAACAGAGUGCCAACACUGAUACUGGUUUUCUCAUCCUUUCAGACACUGCACUGGACUUGCAUUGUGCAAACAGAUUUUCACAUAUAUUAUACCAAGUACAGCAUGCAUAUAUUGUAGUUGCAAUAUGUAGAUAUAAAUGUGUCUGCUACAUUUCCCUAAGAAUUUCAUGUGCAAACAAGAGUCUGCAUUUACACCCAAGAGUUAUUUGCACAUAGAACUAUGCGUGUGGCUUUAUCUCUAUCAUUCUAACCCAGACAGAAAAACUAAUUUCAAGCAGGACUGGAAAAAACAUAUCAAGUAAGUUAUUUAGACUUUGCUAUUGUUGUUUAACUCAAGCAAACACCUCCCCUCCCAAAACUUCUAUGCUUUCAAGUGGGUUUGUCUCCAUAUCCAGCUCAAACUGCAGAUGUAGCAAUCCAUAUUUCAUAAUCAUUUUUCUGCUGCUUUUAAAAGCAUUACUGCAUCCUGACAACAGCAGCACAGCAAAGGAACAGAUAAAGACUGCCCCAACUAGUUUCCAAAAACCAUAAAAGUAUUUCCAUAAAAGAGCCCUUGAUCUAAAUUUGAUACGUGACAUAUUGGUUGGUACAGAAAGGAUUUUGAAAGACUCCAUGCAAAUGCUUUGUGUUAAGAAACCAUUUGUGGAUUUUUUAGGAGGUUUUGGUUUUAUUUCUUGAAGUUACUGUCAUUUUUACAACAAUGGUUCAGAAUCAACCCUGAAAUGUCUAACAUAUGUUAAAACCCAGGAAGGUUGUCUUGGUUUUUUUUUUAAAAGGAACAAGUGAAGUAAGAUUCUAUGAUAACAUUUGUGCUUUACAAGAGGCUUCACCUGACAGCAUUGCUCUGAGCUCUUCUGAGUGGACACUGCACCAUCCCCAUUCCUCAGAACAGACAUGGGCUUUGUGACAUUACACAAUUUGUGUAAUGCACAGCCUGUGCAUUACACUGAAGAAAAUGGCUUUCAAAUAGUCUAGAAAUGGUGUUAUAGCUCUGCAACUCAGUUUAAUCAAUUCUGUGUGUGAAUAGUGAUACCUACAACCACACAAGUUACAUAUGGAAGCACUGGGAUGAUAAUGGUCUCUCCACGGAUCAGGUUAAAGCAUUUAGGGUACCCAGAACUGGGUUUUUGCCCCACUUGCAGAAAAACAUUACUGAAAGAACCUCUAGUACCCCCUAUAUGUAUCGCUGCUAAAUGUCACAUGGACAUCUGAGACACAGAUCAAUUAAAAACAUGCUUUACAUAUAAAUCUGUAAACAACUUUCUACAACUACCAUUGGAAUGGUUACCAUGCAUAUUCAGCACUUGUCCAACAUUAUAUUAGUGUAAGACCUGACUCUGCACCACAAUUUUCCCCAAGAAGGAACUGAUUCUUACUGGAAAGCAUCAGAUUAUGCCAUCUCUAGGUUUUGCACAAGAACUCCCUCCAAAGCAGAGGACUCAGUAAACAACAGUUGCUCCACUUUGCCCUACACAAAUAAGCACGGGCAAAUCAACUCAGCACUUGCAAAGGGAUGGACCAAGAGAAGUAAGAAACCUGCUACCUGAGCAGUACCACGGUCAGUCACCACUUUGAAAGAAGCCUUGCCCUUGAGGACAAGGGAGAGCUUUAAGGCAGAGAAGAAAUCAGGAAUGGUGAUUUCUUUAAACUUGUGUUACUCCCAAAGCCUUUGAUAAUGCACUCAAGGUGUCCAACUGAGCCUAAGUUAUCUGAAAAUUAUAAUGAAGCACAUUUUAUUGCCUUUGUGGUGAAUAAUAAAAACUAUUGAAAAUUGUGCCACUGACUGUAGAAACCGCUGAUUUUGUUUUAAACUUGCCAGUUUCAGGUCAAACCAGCAUUUAUGUUUCUCCCUUUAGGGAAAGGCUUGACUUUAU